RNAcentral lists this ribosomal RNA (172 nucleotides) under uncultured bacterium. RNAcentral's name for it is "partial 16S ribosomal RNA". It matches the Rfam family "Bacterial small subunit ribosomal RNA", at positions 335 to 524 of the family's 1533-position model. The record is from RNAcentral.
ACUCCUACGGAAGGCAGCAGUGGGGAAUAUUGCACAAUGGAGGAAACUCUGAUGCAGCGACGCCGCGUGAGUGAAGAAGUAGUUCGCUAUGUAAAGCUCUAUCAGCAGGGAAGAUAGUGACGGUACCUGACUAAGAAGCUCCGGCUAAAUACGUGCCAGCAGCCGCGGUAAU